This 431-nucleotide ribosomal RNA is filed under the name uncultured bacterium. Its description in RNAcentral is "partial 16S ribosomal RNA". It matches the Rfam family "Bacterial small subunit ribosomal RNA", at positions 29 to 505 of the family's 1533-position model. The record is from RNAcentral.
AACGAACGCUGGCGGCAUGCCUAACACAUGCAAGUCGAACGAGACCUUCGGGUCUAGUGGCGCACGGGUGCGUAACGCGUGGGAACCUGCCCUUAGGUUCGGAAUAACUCCCCGAAAGGGGUGCUAAUACCGGAUAAUGUCUUCGGACCAAAGAUUUAUCGCCUUUGGAUGGGCCCGCGUUGGAUUAGCUAGUUGGUAGGGUAAAAGCCUACCAAGGCGACGAUCCAUAGCUGGUCUGAGAGGAUGAUCAGCCACACUGGGACUGAGACACGGCCCAGACUCCUACGGGAGGCAGCAGUGGGGAAUAUUGGACAAGGGGCGAAAGCCUGAGCCAGCAAUGCCGCGUGAGUGAUGAAGGCCUUAGGGUUGUAAAGCUCUUUUACCCGGGAUGAUAAUGACAGUACCGGGAGAAUAAGCUCCGGCUAACUCCG